Molecule: ribosomal RNA, 466 nt
Filed under: uncultured bacterium
Lineage: Bacteria
Description: partial 16S ribosomal RNA
Rfam family: Bacterial small subunit ribosomal RNA
Source: RNAcentral
GAUGAACGCUGGCGGCGUGCCUAACACAUGCAAGUCGAGCGAACCCUUCGGGGUGAGCGGCGGACGGGUGAGUAACGCGUGGGUAACCUGCCCUAUACACACGGAUAACGUACCGAAAGGUACGCUAAUACGGGAUAAAGUUGUUGGAUGGCAUCUUCUAACAAUCAAAGCUCCGGCGGUAUAGGAUGGACCCGCGUCUGAUUAGCUAGUUGGUGAGGUAAUGGCUCACCAAGGCGACGAUCAGUAGCCGACCUGAGAGGGUGAUCGGCCACACUGGAACUGAUACACGGUCCAGACUCCUAAGGGAGGCGGCAGUGGGGAAUAUUGCACAAUGGGCGAAAGCCUGAUGCAGCAACGCCGCGUGAGCGAUGAAGGUCUUCGGAUCGUAAAGCUCUGUCCUCAAGGAAGAUAAUGACGGUACUUGAGGAGGAAGCCUCGGCUAACUACGUGCCAGCCGCCGCCGUAA